Molecule: ribosomal RNA, 482 nt
Filed under: uncultured bacterium
Lineage: Bacteria
Description: partial 16S ribosomal RNA
Rfam family: Bacterial small subunit ribosomal RNA
Source: RNAcentral
AUUGAACGCUGGCGGCAUGCCUUACACAUGCAAGUCGAACGGUAACGGGCCUUCGGGUGCCGACGAGUGGCGAACGGGUGCGUAAUACAUCGGAACGUGCCCGAUCGUGGGGGAUAACGAGGCGAAAGCUUUGCUAAUACCGCAUACGAUCUACGGAUGAAAGCAGGGGACCGCAAGGCCUUGCGCGGACGGAGCGGCCGAUGGCAGAUUAGGUAGUUGGUGGGAUAAAAGCUUACCAAGCCGACGAUCUGUAGCUGGUCUGAGAGGAUGAUCAGCCACACUGGGACUGAGACACGGCCCAGACUCCUACGGGAGGCAGCAGUGGGGAAUUUUGGACAAAGGGCGCAAGCCUGAUCCAGCCAUGCCGCGUGCAGGAUGAAGGCCUUCGGGUUGUAAAAUGCUUUUGUACGGAACGAAAAGCCUUCUUUUAAUACAGGAGGGUCAUGACGGUACCGUAAGAAUAAGCACCGGCUAACUACGUG